AAGGGCACCACAAGAACGCGUGGAGCAUGUGGCUUAAUUUGACUCAACGCGGGAAAUCUUACCGGGUCCGGACACACUGAGGAUUGACAGGUUUUUAUAAGACUAUAUGAUAAUUUUUUUUAAAAUUAUGUAUAGCAAUUCUUAUAUCAAAUAUGCUAGUCCUUUCAUGAUUGCGUGAUAGGUGGUGCAUGGCCGUUCUUAGUUCGUGGAGUGAUCUGUCUGCUUAAUUGCGUUUCACUAUAAUGAGUAUAUAUUGAAUACUUUGUUUGCACAUAAAGUUGCUGCAUUGUUUUUUAACUUUGCACCUUUAUUGUUGCACGGUAUUCUUUUAAAUAUACUCUGAAGGCAACGAACGUGACCGCAACAUCUUGUUGCAUAAUCUUAUUUAUGCUAACUAGAUGGACCGCUGGAUCUUUUCUAAACAGAGGAAGAUUGCGGCAAUAACAGGUCUGUGAUGCCCUCAGAUGUUCUGGGCUGCACACGUGCUACAAUGAUUAUUGCAGUAUGCAUCUAUAUAGGAUUUUUAUAAUCCGCAGGAAUUUAAAUAAAUAUAUAAUUUUUUAUAUAUUUAUCCUGUUUAACCAACUUUGAAAGUAAGUUGGUAAUCAAUUCGAAGUAAUGAUUUCCUUUUGCACAAUAAUAAUAUUUUAUUCGAUUAAUCUUAGUCUUUUUAGAUUUUGUAUUAAAGUUAAAAUAUGUGCUCCUUUAUUUCAUGGUGGGGACUGACCAUUGUUAAUUGUUGGUCACGUCUCAACUAGGAAUGCCUUGUACUGGUCUUGGUUCAACAAACCACCAGGAAUAUGUCCCUGCCCUUUGUACACACCGCCCGUCGCUCUUACCGAUGGACUAUUCUGUGAGUAUACAGGACGGGAACUCUAUCUUCUGAUUGAGUUCUAUAAGUAUGUACGCGAACAGUGUGGUCUAAAGGAAAGAGAAGUCGUAACAAGGCAUCAGUAGGUGAACCUGCAGAAGGAUCA
Molecule: ribosomal RNA, 977 nt
Filed under: Allogromia sp.
Lineage: Eukaryota; Foraminifera
Description: SSU rRNA
Rfam family: Eukaryotic small subunit ribosomal RNA
Source: RNAcentral